Molecule: long non-coding RNA, 875 nt
Organism: Hippocampus comes (tiger tail seahorse)
Lineage: Eukaryota; Metazoa; Chordata; Actinopteri; Syngnathiformes; Syngnathidae
Exons: 2
Source: RefSeq, a predicted model, not a curated record
CGGGGCCCUAAUACGCCUUCGUAGGUUUCUGAUAAAGACAUUUUUUUUUUAUUUCAUUUUAUUUUUUCUUUAAAGAUCACUGGACAGUAGUUUGUUCGGCUUAGCGCCUCUAUCGGCUAAUAUUCAGUGUUAGUACGGUAUAGCUUCAUAAUGCAAUAGUAAACAGUUUCUUUGCUCUUAAAAGUUUAAUUUACGCGUCUGCUUUUUUUUUAUACAAAGGAAUUCAGAGAUAUGUAUACUCGCUUUGUCAAUAUGUUUACGUAUGAGUGUGUGUGUGUGUGUGUGUGUGUGUGUUGCUCGCAUUCAAAAAACAUUUUUUUAAAAAUUGUUUUAUUGAGCGUUUGGCCAUCCCACCUUCUUGUUCUCGCCCUUCCCAUUAAGCCUUCUAACCCUUUUUUGAUCCCUCUAAUGACAUUGGGAAAUAAUUAAGCUUUUCUUUCAUGUCCCCACAAGUCACAUUUCCUUUUGGUCUCCCUCAGGGACGCGGGCCAACGUUAAGCCUUUCACUGGCGCCAAAACGACAAAAGCGGGAGGAGACGAGAAAGGAGGGUGUCGAGAUAGAAGGGACGGAAUACCAGAGAGGGUGGCAAGUCAAAGAGAAGACAACUUGCCUUUCCCUUAUAUGUCAAAGAAAGAAAAUCACUUAACCCCCCACCCCCAACCGCAUCCUGCCCCCCCCAGCAGGGGAGUCAAACAAGACUGAGCAAAAGCUAAGCGGCAGCAAUUCUCGGUGUUUGAUUUAAAUCCACAAGGUAGAAUUCCCUUUGUUUGAUGUUGAGUUUGACAGUAAAUUUUGAGUGGGAGGGGCAUUAAGCAGUUUGAGGACUUUUUGUUUAAGUUGAAGAGAUUUCACUACCCCAUCUCAAGUCAAAGCA